RNAcentral lists this ribosomal RNA (506 nucleotides) under uncultured bacterium. RNAcentral describes it as "partial 16S ribosomal RNA". It matches the Rfam family "Bacterial small subunit ribosomal RNA", at positions 29 to 523 of the family's 1533-position model. The record is from RNAcentral.
AGUGAACGCUGGCGGUAGGCCUAACACAUGCAAGUCGAACGGCAGCACAGAGGAGCUUGCUCCUUGGGUGGCGAGUGGCGGACGGGUGAGGAAUACAUCGGAAUCUACUCUGUCGUGGGGGAUAACGUAGGGAAACUUACGCUAAUACCGCAUACGACCUACGGGUGAAAGCAGGGGAACUUCGGACCUUGCGCGAUUGAAUGAGCCGAUGUCGGAUUAGCUAGUGGGCGGGGUAAAGGCCCACCAAGGCGACGAUCCGUAGCUGGUCUGAGAGGAUGAUCAGCUACACUGGAACUGAGACACGGUCCAGACUCCUACGGGAGGCAGCAGUGGGGAAUAUUGGACAAUGGGCGCAAGCCUGAUCCAGCCAUACCGCGUGGGUGAAGAAGGCCUUCGGGUUGUAAAGCCCUUUUGUUGGGAAAGAAAUCCAUCUGGUUAAUACCCGGGUGGGAUGACGGUACCCAAAGAAUAAGCACCGGCUAACUUCGUGCCAGCCGCCGCAGUAA